RNAcentral lists this ribosomal RNA (253 nucleotides) under uncultured bacterium. RNAcentral describes it as "partial 16S ribosomal RNA". It matches the Rfam family "Bacterial small subunit ribosomal RNA", at positions 524 to 776 of the family's 1533-position model. The record is from RNAcentral.
UACGUAGGGUGCAAGCGUUGUCCGGAAUUAUUGGGCGUAAAGAGCUCGUAGGCGGUUUGUCGCGUCUGCUGUGAAAACCCGAGGCUCAACCUCGGGCCUGCAGUGGGUACGGGCAGACUAGAGUGCGGUAGGGGAGAUUGGAAUUCCUGGUGUAGCGGUGGAAUGCGCAGAUAUCAGGAGGAACACCGGUGGCGAAGGCGGAUCUCUGGGCCGAUACUGACGCUGAGGAGCGAAAGCGUGGGGAGCGAACAGG